Molecule: long non-coding RNA, 553 nt
Filed under: Monodelphis domestica (gray short-tailed opossum)
Lineage: Eukaryota; Metazoa; Chordata; Mammalia; Didelphimorphia; Didelphidae
Description: lncRNA (ENSMODG00000041562.1)
Source: RNAcentral
AACCAGUGCCUUGUUGUUUCCCAAUUCUGCUUUUCUGAAAGAGUACUCUCCUGUGCUGAUGCCUUUCCUUUUAUGGGCCUGGAUUCAUUUGAGAUGCCAAGAGGAGGAGUGUGGCUGUUUGUUUGAGGCUGACCUUUGCAGACCAUUUGAAAUCUGUAUAAAUGACUCUCUUCUGUUAAAUAAACCUUUGCUGGAACCAGCUAAAUACUGGACUGAUGUACGUACUGCCCUCUGGUGGUUUGCUGACUGCAGAGAACACCUGCUCACUAAAUUUAGAGAGAAAGCUGAAUAUAGUCUCUGGAAAUCUAAUUUGGCAAGGGGAGAAGACAAGAAGCUGAUGUGGUACUGCUUUUUCCAGUCAUUUUCGCAUUUAUUAUUUGUGUGUUCUGGAUUUUUUAAUAUGAUUCAAACUAUACUGGCAACAGGGUAUAAUAGGAAGAGCCCUAGAUUUAAAAUAAAAGGACCACAUAUUAGAAUUGUGAUCUUAGGCAAGUCAUUUAAUUUCUUUAGGAUUGAAUUUCCUUAUCUGUUAAAUAAGAGAGUUGGAUUGUAA